AAAAAUUUUUUUACUAAAGAAAUGUAUACAGUAUUUCAGCAAGGGAGUAAAAAUUAAUCUCUUGAAUCAAACCUCAUAAAAAGAUAUGAACGGCUAUUUGUAUGCAGGAUGGAUUUUUGCCACCUCUUCAAGGUUAUUGAUCUCUUUCUUGUGUUGAAAAGUGUCUUGCUCUGAAGCAAAGUGGAGCUUUUAAGCCUGAGUAACUUGUCUACACACCUGAGCUGAUGUAUAUGUUAAAACAGAUAUUUUUUUUGCCCUGAAAGUGCACAUUGCAUGUUUAAUAUUAGGAAAAAGAUAAUCCAUGUAAUAGCACAACCAAGGUAUGAUUCACUUAUGCUAAUUGGUUGCUCUGACAUCAAGGCUUCAGUGCAAAAAAAUCUUUGCCUCUGGCAAUGGAAGUUCACAGUGCCAAAUCCUUCCACCCUGGGUCAUGAAACUGUGUUCUCUUUUUAUCACAGAAAUCACAGUGAUAGAAAGGAAACCCAGAGCUAUCGAUUUGAAUGCCAGGCUAUACAAAACCAGCCUGCAAGUGAAUGAAAAUGACUUAACAAAAUAUAGUCAGAUGCUGUUUCAUUCUUCAUGUCCUCAUUUAUCUCCUGAUCCCUUUUUAGAAGGCUUUAAUGCAAGGGAUCAGUGGGAAUCCCAGUAACAUUGCUUAUGGCAGAAAGUGACACUUAUUUAGCAAUUUUAGCAAACUAACAAGUCAAGGUGCCUGGGUCUUAAUGUACAUAUCUUUGUGCAAAUUACUUUUACAGCAGAAAGCUUCAUAAAUACAUAGAGUUCGACAUUCUAAUAGCUGUGUUGGUUUUGUGUUGACAAGAAUGAACCUAACCUCCCCAAGGCUUGCACACUCCCCUCUUCUUUGGGGUGUGUGUGUGUGUGUGCGCGUGUGCAAGAGAUAGGAAGCGUCCAUUUCAAUUUCAGAUUAACCACAGUUCAGUGUAUUGUCCGAACCCUAAACUGUGGUUAAUCUUUCCUGUGAUUAGAGAAAAAUGCCAGCUGCUUAACUAUGUUUUGAAGUUAGAUUGUUCCACAUAAUUUUAAGUUUUUCCAGAUUUCAGAUAACAUGGCAAGUUGCAGUUAAUAAAAAAAGGAAGCAAAAGUUUACAAAUGUCUUCUCACAGUUGUACCAGAGAAAUGUUUUUAUUAGGUGACAAAUAAAAGUUAAAACAAGCGUGAUAGCAACAGCCAACUUCAUAAUAAUGGUGGGUUGAACUGUCCUGAGCCCACCUUUUCAACUAAGAAUCCAGUGAAGAGCUCUGCAAGGGCGGAAAGAAGCCUUCCACGCUGCCUGACAAACUGCUUUCGAAACAGGUGCUUCAGAACCAGACUGUGCUGUGCAGAGAGCCCAGUU
Rhineura floridana is the source of this 1354-nucleotide long non-coding RNA. RefSeq lists it as uncharacterized. NCBI's taxonomy places the organism in Eukaryota, Metazoa, Chordata, Lepidosauria, Squamata, Rhineuridae. The transcript has 3 exons. The record is from RefSeq and is a predicted model, not a curated record.